RNAcentral lists this ribosomal RNA (448 nucleotides) under uncultured Planctomycetota bacterium. RNAcentral describes it as "bacterial SSU rRNA". It matches the Rfam family "Bacterial small subunit ribosomal RNA", at positions 338 to 796 of the family's 1533-position model. The record is from RNAcentral. Lineage: Bacteria; Pseudomonadati; Planctomycetota.
CCUACGGGAGGCAGCAGUCGAGGAUCUUUGGCAAUGGGCGCAAGCCUGACCAAGCGACGCCGCGUGCGCGAUGAAGGCCUUCGGGUUGUAAAGCGCUGUCGAGGGGGAGAAAGCCGCAAGGUUGACCUAUCCCUGGAGGAAGGACGGGCUAAGUUCGUGCCAGCAGCCGCGGUAAGACGAACCGUCCUAACGUUGUUCGGAAUCACUGGGCUUAAAGGGCGAGUAGGCGGUGAGGCAAGUCCGAGGUGUAAUACUAUGGCUUAACCAUAGAACUGCCUCGGAAACUGCUUUACUUGAGUCAGUGAGGGGAGGGCGGAAUUCCUGGUGUAGCGGUGAAAUGCGUAGAUAUCAGGAGGAAGGCCAGUGGCGAAGGCGUCCCUCUGGCGCUGAACUGACGCUGAGGCGCGAAGGCGUGGGGAGCAAACAGGAUUAGAUACCCGGGUAGUCC